Molecule: ribosomal RNA, 918 nt
Filed under: archaeon enrichment culture clone EA17.1
Lineage: Archaea
Description: bacterial SSU rRNA
Rfam family: Archaeal small subunit ribosomal RNA
Source: RNAcentral
UUCCGGUUGAUCCUGCCGGAGGUCACUGCUAUCAGUAUUCGAUUAAGCCGUGCGAGUCAAAUGUUUUUCGUAAACAUGGCGUACUGCUCAGUAACACGUGGAUAAUCUGCUCCAAGGUCAGGCAUAACUCCGGGAAACUGGUGAUAAUACCUGAUAAAUCAUAGCUACUGGAAUGUUCUGUGAUUCAAAGCUCCGGCGCCUUAGGAUGAAUCUGCGGUCUAUCAGGUAGUAGUGGGUGUAACGUACCUACUAGCCAACGACGGAUACGGGUUGUGAGAGCAAGAGCCCGGAGAUGGAUUCUGAGACAUGAAUCCAGGCCCUACGGGGCGCAGCAGGCGCGAAAUCUCUACAAUGCGGGGAACCGCGAUAAGGGGAUACUGAGUGCCAGCAUAUUAUGUUGGCUGUCCACCUGUAUAAACAGCAGGUGUUAGCAAGGGCCGGGCAAGACCGGUGCCAGCCGCCGCGGUAACACCGGCGGCCCGAGUGGUGGCCACUAUUAUUGGGUCUAAAGGGUCCGUAGCCGGUUUGAUCAGUCUUCCGGGAAAUCUGACAGCUCAACUGUUAGGCUUCCGGGGGAUACUGCCAGACUUGGGACCGGGAGAGGUAAGAGGUACUACAGGGGUAGGAGUGAAAUCUUGUAAUCCUUGUGGGACCACCAGUGGCGAAGGCGUCUUACCAGAACGGGUCCGACGGUAAGGGACGAAAGCUGGGGGCACGAACCGGAUUAGAUACCCGGGUAGUCCCAGCCGUAAACGAUGCUCGCUAGGUGUCUGGGACGGUGCGACCGUUUCAGGUGCCGCAGGGAAGCCGUGAAGCGAGCCACCUGGGAAGUACGGCCGCAAGGCUGAAACUUAAAGGAAUUGGCGGGGGAGCACUACAMCGGGUGGAGCCUGCGGUUUAAUUGGAUUCAACGCCGGG